RNAcentral lists this ribosomal RNA (431 nucleotides) under uncultured bacterium. RNAcentral describes it as "partial 16S ribosomal RNA". It matches the Rfam family "Bacterial small subunit ribosomal RNA", at positions 338 to 795 of the family's 1533-position model. The record is from RNAcentral.
CCUACGGGAGGCUGCAGUAAGGAAUAUUGGUCAAUGGGCGGAAGCCUGAACCAGCCAUGCCGCGUGCAGGAAGACGGCCUACGGGUUGUAAACUGCUUUUGCAGGGGAAUAUGUACUCUGAGAAUAAGGAUCGGCUAACUCCGUGCCAGCAGCCGCGGUAAUACGGAGGAUCCGAGCGUUAUCCGGAUUUAUUGGGUUUAAAGGGUGCGUAGGCGGCUUAUUAAGUCAGGGGUGAAAGACGGUAGCUUAACUAUCGCAGUGCCCUUGAUACUGAUGAGCUUGAAUGUAGUUGAGGUAGGCGGAAUGUGACAAGUAGCGGUGAAAUGCAUAGAUAUGUCACAGAACACCAAUUGCGAAGGCAGCUUACUAAGUUGAUUGACGCUGAGGCACGAAAGCGUGGGGAUCAAACAGGAUUAGAUACCCUAGUAGUC